GGAGGGCGGCGUGCGGCGGGAGACGACAGUGACCGAGCUUAGUGUGCAGAACUGGAGGAAGGCGGUUUACCCCCUCAGCUGCUAGUCCGUCUCCCUGGGCGCUGCGGAGGCGCGGGGCCUGCGGCGCGGCGUCGUGACGUCACGGUGGCGGCGGCCGUGGUUGGCGCACGGUCCGCGGCUGCAAAGUGUGAAUUACGCCGGGCUCGCGCCGGCGGCGGAGUGAAGUCAGGCUCCGGGGGAGGGGAGGGGCAGGACGGUGGCGACGGCCCGAGCUGGUGGCUGGUCCCGAGCCCCGCGCGCCCUGGGUCUCGCCGCUGGCUCCGGCAGUCUUUUCUUGCACCGCUUUCUUCUGUCCUUGCUCCGCUCCUGCUCUGCCCUCCCCAGACCCGCUCCUCCCGGCCGAGGAGCCCCGGGGCGGCAGGGUUCCCCCUCCGACUUUGCCUGUGCUGCCCCCGCUUGCACCCCGGAGCCGGGCGCGCGCUGGUCCUCGUAACUGUCGCUGCGGCCGCCGCAGCGUCUUCCCGCCGGCGGCCCGGGCGGAGUGUUGGGGUGGGGAAGGCGUGAGCGCGGCUUCCCGGCCCGGGGUCGCCUCCCACCCACCCUGCCCCCGCCUCGGCCCGGUGCCCCAGAGCCGCGGCCCCUUCCCAGCGCAGGGGCCCGCUGCCGCGGCUGGGCGGGCGCCGCGCGGGGGCAGGGCGGGCGUAUUCAAUGGAAGUAUGUUACCAGCUGCCGGUGCUGCCCCUGGACAGGCCGGUCCCCCAGCACGUCCUCAGCCGCCGAGGAGCCAUCAGCUUCAGCUCCAGCUCCGCGCUCUUCGGCUGCCCCAAUCCCCGGCAACUCUCACAGAGGCGUGGAGCUAUUUCCUAUGACAGUUCUGACCAGACUGCAUUGUACAUUCGUAUGCUAGGAGAUGUACGUGUAAGGAGUCGAGCAGGAUUUGAAUCAGAAAGAAGAGGUUCUCAUCCAUAUAUUGAUUUUCGUAUUUUUCAUGCUCAAUCUGAAAUUGAAGUUUCUGUGUCUGCAAGGAAUAUCAGAAGGUUACUAAGUUUCCAGCGGUAUCUUAGAUCUUCACGCUUUUUUCGUGGUACUACUGUUUCGAAUUCUCUGAACAUUUUAGAUGAUGAUUAUAAUGGACAAGCCAAGUGUAUGCUGGAAAAAGUUGGAAAUUGGAAUUUUGAUAUCUUUCUGUUUGAUAGACUAACAAACGGAAACAGUCUAGUCAGUUUAACCUUUCAUUUAUUUAGUCUUCACGGAUUAAUUGAGUACUUCCAUUUAGAUAUGAUGAAACUUCGUAGAUUUUUAGUUAUGAUUCAAGAAGAUUACCACAGUCAGAACCCUUACCACAAUGCAGUCCACGCUGCAGAUGUUACUCAGGCCAUGCACUGUUACUUAAAAGAACCUAAGCUUGCCAGUUCUGUAACCCCUUGGGAUGUCUUGCUGAGCUUAAUUGCGGCUGCCACCCACGAUCUGGAUCAUCCAGGUGUUAAUCAACCUUUCCUGGUUAAAACCAACCAUUACUUGGCAACUUUAUACAAGAAUACCUCAGUCCUGGAAAAUCACCACUGGAGAUCUGCAGUGGGAUUAUUGAGAGAAUCUGGUUUAUUCUCACAUAUGCCAUCAGAAAGCCGGCAACAAAUGGAGACUCAGAUAGGUGCUUUGAUACUAGCCACAGACAUCAGUCGCCAAAAUGAGUAUCUGUCAUUGUUUAGGUCCCAUUUGGACAGAGGUGACUUAAGCCUAGAAGACGCCAGGCAUAGGCAUUUGGUUUUACAGAUGGCUUUGAAAUGUGCUGAUAUUUGUAACCCGUGUCGGACCUGGGAAUUAAGCAAGCAAUGGAGUGAAAAAGUCACAGAGGAAUUCUUCCAUCAAGGAGAUCUAGAAAAGAAGUAUCAUUUGGGUGUGAGCCCACUUUGUGACCGUCAGACUGAAUCUAUUGCCAACAUUCAGAUCGGUUUCAUGACUUACCUAGUGGAGCCUUUAUUCACAGAAUGGGCCAGGUUUUCCGAUACCAGGCUCUCCCAGACCAUGCUCGGACAUAUGGGGCUGAACAAAGCCAGUUGGAAGGGGCUGCAGAGAGAACAGUCCACCAGUGAGGACACGGAUGCUGCGUUCGAGGAGUUGAACUCACAGUUAUUACCUCAGGAAAAUCGGUUAUCAUAGCCCCCAGCGGCAGCGGGACAGACUGCCUCCUGCAGGUGUUUAGAAAUGUGAAAUGGGGUCUCGAGGCGAGAGGACGUUCUCUUGGCUGCCAAGGUUUCCGAAGGAACAAGGCCAGCGUUAUUUAUUCCCAAGGUGGCCUCUCUCGGAUCAUGUGACCCCACUUUUUAAUUAUAAGACCCGAACAUACAGCAAUAUGCAUUUGGCUUUCGUGUGAAACCUUGAAUAUGCAAAGCCCAGCAGGAGCGAACCGGAAAGGAGUAACAGAGGAAGCUUUGCGGUGUGCCACGAGUUUUUCGAAGCAUUUGUUCCUCGAACCACGAAACUUAAAGUGUAUCUUCCAGCAGAAAUCUCUUGGAAUUGAACCAGUCUGAUGCAACGUUGCGUAUCUGUACCUUCCACUGAGUUCUCUCGGAGAUGGAAAUGUGAAGUGCCCAGCCUCCGCCGCCUCCUGCAAGACUCGAUGUUUACAGAUCAACUCUGAACUCCUGGUUCUACGUUGCCUUGGAGCAUGACUGUGAAGGAACCACUGAAUUUUAAAGCUCAAACUGAACCUGCAGCUCUUUUCCCCUGGUUUGCCUUUUUUCUUCUCUGGAUGCCACCAAAGCCUCCCAUUUGCUAGAGUUUUAUUUUGCGCACUGGAAACUGAGCAUUUAUCAUAGAGUACCGCCAUGCUUUCACUCCAGUGCUGUUUGGCAAUGCAAUUUUUUUUAACUAUUCGUUUUUAAUUUGGGGCGGGAGGGGAAGAACACCAGUGUCCUAGCUGUAUUAUGAUUCUGCAGUGAAGACAUUGCAUGUUGUUUUCACUACUGUACACUUGACCUGCACAUGCAAGAAAGAGGUGGAAUGUUUAAAACACCAUAAUCAGCUCAGGGUAUUUGCCAAUCUGAAAUAAAGUGGGAUGGGGAAGUGUGUCCUUCAGAGCAAGGGUACUAAAGUCCCUUUCGCUGCAGUGAGUGAGAGGCAAAUCUUCUUGGGAAGUCAGAUUAUGAUCAGCGGUUACUUGGUGAGCAUGGAUUCUGGGCCAGGGAAGCAAGUUGCCUCGUGCAGCCAUCUCCCUGCAGGGAUAAACUUGCUGAUGCUCCUGUCCGUGGACCAGGGGGCGCUCUUCCCCUGGAUGAUGCCGGAGAGUCGCUGCACCAGGGGGCGCUCUUCCCCUGGAUGAUGCCGGAGAGUCGCUGCACCAGGGGGCGCUCUUCCCCUGGAUGAUACUGGAGAGUCGCUGCGGGUAGUUGCUUCUCCACAUCAGCUUCUGAUCGGCACAUGCAGUAGAUCUGCCAGACCUUCAGCUUGGUCUCAGUUGAGACUGCCUGGGCCCCCUCUGCCGGCGUGUGAUUGCUUCUGCUCUGAUCCAUUAUGUGUUUCUUAUUGUUUGAUAGUCAAAGGAUUAUCUUAUUUCCAUUUUUGGGAGAGACACCUCAGUGUUGCUCCCAUUUCCUGCCUACACAUAUAAUAAACCCACUGAAAAAUUUUGUUUUGUUACAUAUACUUGGAGGUCCCAGUCUACAGCCCUGCUUCUGAAAUAUAACCGAUAUUCCUUGAACAUUGAUUUUCUAGAAAAAAUUUGAGGAAACAGUUGAAUAAUUUAGAAGAUUACUAAUCACUUAAGUAAAUGUUAUGGAACAGAAUUAAAAUUCAUAUGAAUUUUUAAAACGGGAGACUUCAAAGAAUUGUUGAGCAUGUGGCACUUUUGGGGCUCUAGGCCCAACACUUCAGUCGUGGGGGGGCAUCUCCUCUGCUCUGGGGGUAAAGGUCCAUAGAGAGAAAAUUUUGGCACAAGCCUUAGCUUAAUGAAAAAAAAAUCUGGUAUGUGGUCAAUAUUUGUAUUCUGUAAAUGUGAUGGUUUAUAAUGAUCCUCUUUGUAUAAAAGCAGCAAAUAUUUUAUGUCCUUUGCAAACCUGGGAAAUCUAUUUGUACCUGAGGUACAGGUUAGAGGUGCUAGUAAUUCUUUGAAGAUUCCUAUAAUGGUUUCUUUUUCCAAAAUGCUUUCCUGGCUCUUUAAGCUUUCAGUUUUCUUAAAACUCUCAAACUUUUGCAUCAGAGGUUUACAAUGUUUUCAUGUGAACUUUUUUAAUAUAAAAAUAUUAAAUCCUCUCCCAAUCAGUACCUUCUGCUUUAGAAAAUACAAUGAUAGACAGCUAAUACACAUUCACUAAUGUUUUUAAAUAAAUGUGCAAGAGUUCGUCUGAGCCAUUAGUUGCUUGCUAAGGAUCUGCAGACAUGUGUCUUUCGGAAGGCCCCCAAGGGUCCAUGGUCUGUAGGUGGAAUGACUACUACUUGGAGGUGAGCUGACAGGGAGCACACAGCAGGUCUCAUCCGCCUUCUAGUCUCUUGUGCUUAGCACAGGGCUAGCACAAAUCGGGCCAUCAAUGAAUGUUUGUGGAACAAACUAAUUGGUACCAAUGUGUUUCCUCUUUAGCCAUCAGUCUAACACUGAGCAAUUACAGCGAAAGUUGUCUGUGCUGAAUCAUGUGGUCAGCAGCAUCUGGGUUCCUGCUGCGUGCAGACAGCCCUGCACUGGAUGUAAUAAAGGUAUUAAAAAUUACAAAACCCUGGUCUCUGUUCUCAAAAUGUUUGGGUGACAAAAUUAUGUGUGAAAAGCAUUCUAUAAUAUGGCAGUUUCUGUUUUACACGAAAUGAUUGCAAAAUAUUGGGGUGUGUUUUAGGAGAAUGGUUUAGUUUGGUUAAUGAUGCAAAUGACACCCAUUUCUAGUAACUCUUAAAUUUUUUUAACAUCCAUGGCUGGUAAAAUUAUUUAGCCUUCAAAUUUGAUUCUAAUAUACAUUCUCCACAUCUUCAUCAACACAUGUUAUGUUUCCUUUCUGAUAAUAGUCAAUCUACCAGGUAUGAAGUGAUACUCUGGUUUCGGUUUGAUUGAUGGCGGUGAGCAUCAUUUCAUUUACCUCUUGGCCGUCUGUAUGUCUUCAAUGGAAAAAUAUACAAGUCCUCUGCCCAUUUUUUUAAUCGGAAUAUUUGUUUUUUUGAUACAAAUUGUGUAAAUUCUUUAUAUAUUUUGGGUAUUAACCCAUCAGAUGUAUGAUUUGCAAGUAUCAUCUUCCACUAAGUGGGUUGCCUGUUUUUGUUUUGUUGCUGGGUUUCCUUGGCUGUGCAGAAAUUUUUAGUUUGAUAUGAUCCUGCUUGUUAUUUUAAUAAGCCUUCAUUGCCCUUGCCUGAGGAGACUGGUCCAAAAACAUAUUUCUAAGAUCAAUGUCAAAGACCUUACUGCCUGUGGUUUCUUCUAGGAGGUUAUGGUUUUAGGUCUCAUAUUCAAGUCUUUAAUCCAUUUGAAUUUAUUUUUUUAUAUGGUAUAAGAUAGUGGCCCAGUCUUUCCAACACCAUUUAUUGAGAUAUUGUACAUCCUUCGCUCCUUUGUCAUAGAUCAAUUGACCAGCUAUGCCUGGAUUUAUUCCUGGGCUCUUUAUUCUGUCCCAUUAAUCUAUACGUCUAUUUUUAUGCCAAUAUCAUACUGUUUUAAUUGCUAGAGUUAUAGAAUAGGUUUUGAAAUCAGC
Molecule: RNA transcript, 5666 nt
Organism: Ailuropoda melanoleuca (giant panda)
Lineage: Eukaryota; Metazoa; Chordata; Mammalia; Carnivora; Ursidae
Gene: PDE7A
Gene name: phosphodiesterase 7A
Exons: 14
Source: RefSeq, a predicted model, not a curated record